Molecule: ribosomal RNA, 497 nt
Filed under: uncultured bacterium
Lineage: Bacteria
Description: partial 16S ribosomal RNA
Rfam family: Bacterial small subunit ribosomal RNA
Source: RNAcentral
GAUGAACGCUGGCGGCGUGCCUAAUACAUGCAAGUCGAGCGAACAGACGAGGAGCUUGCUCCUCUGACGUUAGCGGCGGACGGGUGAGUAACACGUGGAUAACCUACCUAUAAGACUGGGAUAACUUCGGGAAACCGGAGCUAAUACCGGAUAAUAUAUUGAACCGCAGGGUUCAAUAGUGAAAGACGGUUUUGCUGUCACUUCUAGAUGGUUCCGCGCCGCAUUAGCUAGUUGGUAAGGUAACGGCUUACCAAGGCAACGAUGCGUAGCCGACCUGAGAGGGGGAUCGGCCACACGGGAACGUAGACACGGUCCAGACUCCUACGGGAGGCAGCAGUAGGGAAUCUGCCGCAGUGGGCGAAAGCUUGACGGAGCAACGCCGCGUGAGUGAUGAAGGUCUUCGGAUCGUAAAACUCUGUUAUUAGGGAAGAACAAAUGUGUAAGUAACUAUGCACGUCUUGACGGUACCUAAUCAGAAAGCCACGGCUAACUACGUG